GGUUCUGUGGUCUAGCCGGUUAUGACAAAUGCUUAACACGCAUUAGGUCCCCAGUUCGAUCCUGGGCAGAAUCA
Molecule: transfer RNA, 74 nt
Filed under: Yamadazyma tenuis
Lineage: Eukaryota; Fungi; Ascomycota; Pichiomycetes; Serinales; Debaryomycetaceae
Description: tRNA-Val
Source: RNAcentral